AGAAUCAACGCUGGCGGCGUGCCUAACACAUGCAAGUCGCACGAGAAAGGGGAGCAAUCCCUGAGUACAGUGGCGCACGGGUGAGUAACACGUGAAUAAUCUACCUCCGAGUGGGGAAUAACUGAGAGAAAUCUUAGCUAAUACCGCAUAACACUUACGAGUCAAAGCAGCAAUGCGCUUGGAGAGGAGUUCGCGGCCGAUUAGUUAGUUGGCGGGGUAAUGGCCCACCAAGACGAUGAUCGGUAUCCGGCCUGAGAGGGCGCACGGACACACUGGAACUGAAACACGGUCCAGACUCCUACGGGAGGCAGCAGUGGGGAAUUUUGCGCAAUGGGGAAACCCUGACGCAGCAACGCCGCGUGAGGAUGAAGCCCUUGGGUGUAAACUCCUUCGAUCGGGAAGAUAAUGACGGUACCGAUAUAAGAGCCCGGCUAACUUCGUGCCAGCAGCCGC
Molecule: ribosomal RNA, 453 nt
Filed under: uncultured bacterium
Lineage: Bacteria
Description: SSU rRNA
Rfam family: Bacterial small subunit ribosomal RNA
Source: RNAcentral